CCUACGGGAGGCAGCAGUAGGGAAUCUUCCACAAUGGACGAAAGUCUGAUGGAGCAACGCCGCGUGAGUGAAGAAGGGUUUCGGCUCGUAAAGCUCUGUUGGUAGUGAAGAAAGAUAGAGGAAGUAACUGGCCUUUAUUUGACGGUAAUUACUUAGAAAGUCACGGCUAACUACGUGCCAGCAGCCGCGGUAAUACGUAGGUGGCAAGCGUUGUCCGGAUUUAUUGGGCGUAAAGCGGGUGCAGGCGGUUCAAGAAGUCUGAUGUGAAAGCCUUCGGCUCAACCGGAGAAUUGCAUCAAAAACUGUUGAACUUGGGUGCAGAAGAGGAGGGGGGAGCUCCAUGUGUGGCGUUGGAGUGCG
This 360-nucleotide ribosomal RNA is filed under the name uncultured bacterium. RNAcentral describes it as "partial 16S ribosomal RNA". It matches the Rfam family "Bacterial small subunit ribosomal RNA", at positions 338 to 690 of the family's 1533-position model. The record is from RNAcentral.